This is an RNA transcript of Cajanus cajan (pigeon pea), 2488 nucleotides long. It is a transcript of the gene named isoprenylcysteine alpha-carbonyl methylesterase ICME, with no coding region annotated. The record is from RefSeq and is a predicted model, not a curated record. Lineage: Eukaryota; Viridiplantae; Streptophyta; Magnoliopsida; Fabales; Fabaceae.
UGCGGCUACUCACAAUAUUCGCGCUACACAAACCGAGGCAUGCAAUAAUUUAUUUCGUUGCGAUACCACACAAUCUCCGAUUCCGCCGGCGAUGGCCGUCCUCUCCGAUCGCCGCCGCGAGACGCACCGGCGCUCCGCCGGAAAAAACGCCGUCCGGCACCGCGUCGCGAGGCAAGAAUCUUUGCGCAGAGGUAUUGGCCACGUCGCCUCCGAAACCUACCUCAUUACUCGCCUCGCCUUCACGCUUCUUCGCUAUCUCGGGAUUGGUUACCGUUGGAUUACACAAUUACUUGCCCUUGGAUGUUAUGCAUUGCUACUAACCCCCGGAUUUUUACAAGUUGCAUAUUACUAUUUCCUCUCAAACAAGGUAAAGCGAAGCAUUGUUUACGGGGAACAGCCUAGAAACAGGUUGGAUCUGUAUCUACCUGCCGAUGUUAGUGAACCUAAGCCAGUUUUGAUAUUUGUAACUGGGGGAGCAUGGAUUAUUGGGUAUAAAGCAUGGGGCUCCCUUUUAGGGCUACAGUUGGCAGAAAGAGGCAUUAUAGUGGCAUGCAUUGAUUACAGAAAUUUUCCUCAAGGGACCAUCAGUGACAUGGUAAAUGAUACUUCUCAGGGAAUUUCCUUCGUCAUCAGCAACAUAGCUAAUUAUGGAGGUGACCCCAAUAGGAUUUAUCUAAUGGGGCAAUCUGCUGGUGCUCAUAUAUCUUCUUGUGCUUUACUGGAGCAAGCAACCAGAGAAUCGGGAAAAGUAGACAGUGUUUCUUGGAGCAUUUCCCAGAUAAAGGCUUAUUUUGGUUUAUCUGGAGGAUACAACUUAUUGGAUUUAGUGGAUCACUUCCACAAUCGUGGCUUGUAUCGUUCGAUUUUUCUAAGCAUAAUGGAAGGUGAACAAUCUUUGAAGAAAUUUUCUCCUGAAAUUAAAAUUCAAGAUCCAUGCCUCAAAUGUUCCAUUCCUGACUUUCCCCCCGUAUAUCUGUUCCAUGGAACUGCUGAUUAUUCCAUACCAUCAGUUGCCAGUGAACAGUUUGGUGAUGCUCUUAAGAGGGCAGGUGCUAAAGCUGAGGUGAUUCUGUAUGAGGGUAAAACUCAUACAGAUUUGUUUCUCCAAGAUCCACUCCGAGGUGGAAAAGAUGACCUAUUCGACCAUGUAGUUGCCAUUGUACAUUCCAAUGAUAGUGAUGCUCUUGCAAAGGAUGCCACUGCACCCCCAAGAAGACGGUUUGUUCCUGAGAUUUUAUUAAAGUUGGCUAGAAAGAUCAGUCCCUUCUAAGCUUGUAACUGCCAGGGUUCUUGUCGUCUAUAAGCUUGUAACUGAUAGUAUUAACGAACUUCCCUCUGGCUUUGACUCUCCUUCCCCUUCCUCAAGUCAUGUUACUUCUGAAGGACUUCUCAUGUAGCCUCUCCAACGAAUCUAUUCAGUACUUGAAGUAUCCACUAUAAGGGUCUUUGCUUUGGCCUUGGUUGAUGAAUCCAUCCCUUCAAUGUCAAGCAUGUUAGUCUCUCCUUCAGUGCUGCUUUCACUGGAAGAUGUAUCACUUAAUGUGUGAAGCACUGUCAUGUUCUUUUGCUUUGCAUCCUGAAAUGAGAAGCUUUUUGUUUUUCCCAUAUGCACAGGAAGCAUAGACUUUGGUUGUGAGUCAGUCCUGUCCCUUCCCAAACUAUAGGUGGUUGAGAGCUUCCUCUCUAUGCAUUCCCUUUCUCUUACUAUAUCACCCAACUUUUCAAAAACUUCAUUGUCCUCUGCAGCUUUUUUCUCAAGCUCUGUGAUUGUCCUAUCCAAAGCUUUCUUUUUGAGCCGAAGAGAGCACUAAAAGAUCCAAAUGGUAAAAAUAAGUGAAUUAUGAUUGAAGGAACAUUCUAACUUGGUGAAGUAAUAUAAGAAGAAAGGAGGGAAAGAACAAACAACACAAUUUUGGACUAACUCUCUUGCCAAGGAAGCUUCCAAGGCCUUGAUCUUUAAGCUUCUCUUUUGCCCAGAAUGUACAGCAGAAUCUUAAAAGUCCGAUCAGUACCAACAAGAGAGCAGACUCAAAGAGCAGAAACAAUACUAUCGCCCUUUCGUUGCCUGCACAGAACUUAAAACUAUACUCAGUUGUUAAAAUGUUGCCAUAUUCCCUUAAUUUACAAAGCUGUACAUUACCUGUGUAGAUGCUUACAAGCUUGGUUCUCUCUUGAGAGCAGCUAGAUGCAAGCUUCUGACCUAUAAAGUGAUGAGAGAGAGUAAAAGUUGUACUUUGAUAUAGACUCAACUAAAAACAAGAAACUGUAGUUUUGCAUGUUUAAAAAUUGUUGCGUUAUCUUUUUCCAUUAUGUCUUGGUUUCCAUCUAUAUUAGAAAUACUCCUUUUUAACAGUAUAUCAACAUUUGAGAGUCCAUAUCUCAUCUCUUUAAAAUUCCCCAAGGGGCAGUCAAUUCUCUGUUAGUUUUUCACUCUCCAGUUUUAAGCCAAAUUAUAGGAAUAGGAAGCACCAAUGUUGAGAAGACAACA